GGGGGGACUCGACACCUCUGGGGGGUGGUCCGCGGUGGCUGCGACGGCGGUGGAGGGUCCGGCUUCAUCCUCGGACGCCUCAUCCAAGAAGCUGAGGUCGAGCUCGGAAAAUUUUACGACCAUCUUCUCCUGGCAGAGCUCGAAGCCUUUAUUGAAUGCUGCUUGGCCAAACUCAACCUUCAACUUCUUCAUUUUGAUGGAAGCCUUGAACUCC
This 214-nucleotide long non-coding RNA is filed under the name Elaeis guineensis (African oil palm). RNAcentral's name for it is "long non-coding RNA (EGUI_LNC023423)". The record is from RNAcentral. Lineage: Eukaryota; Viridiplantae; Streptophyta; Magnoliopsida; Arecales; Arecaceae.